RNAcentral lists this non-coding RNA (21 nucleotides) under Caenorhabditis elegans. The record is from RNAcentral. Lineage: Eukaryota; Metazoa; Nematoda; Chromadorea; Rhabditida; Rhabditidae.
UCAUGAGACGCUAAAAACAUG